UAAGACUUACGGGAAAGCAAAGGAAAAAAAUCACUAAACUACACCAAAUGAAUUAGAGUAGUUGUGGGACAAAAUUGAUUUUGGUGAAGCAAUCCAAUACACGAAUCCAACAAAUUUGAGUUCGAUAACCCAAUCCACAAGUCGAACAAAUCUGAAAUUGGUGAAGCAAAAUCAGUUUUGGCGGGACAAAGAGGCGGGAGCGAAAUAAUGAAGCAAAGGUUUUUCAUUAUGCAUCUUUCACGCCACUCUUAUCUAACAUCUACGUCACAAAUUUGUAGUUUUUUCAUCUUCUACAAUCUACUGAGUUUAUUAGGAUGAAAUGAAUGAGAGGACAACUUUAAAGACAAAUUUAUCAAAUGAGGGCCCAAAUGAUACAUUUGGACAAGGGAUGGGUAAAGAAAAACAUGUUCGCAUGUAUGGAUUAGGUGUCUCCGCGUCUAAAUUAUGGAAAGAUACAUCUGGUCAUAAAGCAAACCAAGACACAACAAUGGAUGCUAUGGAAGCUGAAAAUUCGGAGCUAAGGUCCAAAGUUUCCUAUGUUCAGCAUGCUCCGAAUAACUUGACAAACACAUCUAACCAGGUCACAACAACAUCUAGUCCUCUUGACAUGGCAGCUCAACAUCAAGCAUGAUCCUUGUCAUCGAUACAAGAUACCUCUCUUACUCAGUUGCGGAGUUGAACACUAAGCAACCGGCGGUCACAAUUGACCCAACACCACCAUGGAAGCCCCAACUGAAGCACCGGGGAAAAGAGAUCCAGGCCAGUGCAUCGGUCGAAGGAGACAAGGAGCAUCUACUCGCCUUUGACCUAACCAAAGCCUUGCUUUUGUCGAGCGAUGUGGUCGGCAGCGACCACGUGCCUGACACCCGGCUGGUGAAGUCCUCGGUCAAGAAUCUCGAACUCUUUAUUUAAAUUUUUCUAAGUGUUUGCUCGGUUUCCUUUCUUUAAUCAAAACUCUUCUUUGCAGGCCAUCCAGAAACAAUAUCUAGUCAUGGAGCGGAUUCAUAGACUCUGGCAGAAGGCAACCGACGCUGCCAGCCAGGUUGAGCACCUUCAAACCGAGCUGGGGCGAUCAAAAGCUUCUUUGGAGAUCGCGAACUCUGACAACUCCAGAUUGCUCGGCCAGCUUGGAGCCGUCGAGCAAGAGAGGGACGCUCUCCGAGCCGAGCUGGAGGCGUUGAAAUAAUCAAGGAAGGAUGAGCUGGAUGAGGCGAACAAUGAAGGUUUCAAGGAGGCCGAGGAAAACUACACGAAGCAAGUCUAUGCCACCCAAGACAUUUUCUUCAAGGCCGGCUGGAAGGCUACUUGCGAACAACUAGGCCAAGGAUCUGGAACUGAUGUGUUCGCCUCUCCCCCAGUUGCCUUUCUGCCGGCGUACAUGGUGCCUUAUGCUAAUGAUGUCUUCAAGGCGUUGCAGGCUGAGGCUGAGGAAGAAGCAGUGGACAACACCGAGGAAAAUGCUGAGGGAGAAAACCACCCGAAGCAGCUCGAGCAGGUGGAGACCGGCGUCCAAGACAAAACAACCACGGUCGAUCUGAAGGCAACCACAACCGGGGAUGACUUCGCCGACUUGUCCCCCUUAGUGUAGUUUUCUAUCUUUUCUUUUUUGUUUUUAAGAAUGUAACCGGGCUGCCAGCCCCUCCGUAUGUAAUUCUGUUUUACAUCAAUGAAAUGUUUUGAUUUCGUUAAGUGUUGUACUGUGUUUAAACUAAACAACUUCAGCCGGGGUAAAGCACCUUGGCUUGAGCUAAUUAUCUCGGUUGAAACCACUCAUCCGUGAGCAAAUUAUCAACUCAUACGGCAGAGAUAAACCAUCUUGCAAAAACCCCUGAGGAUAUCAUAAACUCGUCGAACCGGAGUAAAACAUCUCAGUUGAAAUCACAGAGUUGAGCAAAUCGUCAACUCAUUGAACUGAAGUAAAACAUCUCGAUUGGGAUCACAGAACUGAGCAAACCAUCAACUCGUUCAACCAGAAUAAAACAUCUCGGUUGAAAUCACAGAGUUGAGAAAAAUGCCAACUCAUUGAACCGGAGUAAAACAUCUCGGUUGAAAUCACAGAGUUGAGCAAAUCGUCAACUCAUUGAACCGGAGUAAAACAUCUCGGUUGAGAUCACAGAGUUAAGCAAACCAUCAACUCGUUCAACCAGAAUA
Camellia sinensis is the source of this 2151-nucleotide non-coding RNA. The record is from RefSeq and is a predicted model, not a curated record. NCBI's taxonomy places the organism in Eukaryota, Viridiplantae, Streptophyta, Magnoliopsida, Ericales, Theaceae.